This 506-nucleotide ribosomal RNA is filed under the name uncultured bacterium. Its description in RNAcentral is "partial 16S ribosomal RNA". It matches the Rfam family "Bacterial small subunit ribosomal RNA", at positions 29 to 523 of the family's 1533-position model. The record is from RNAcentral.
AGUGAACGCUGGCGGUAGGCCUAACACAUGCAAGUCGAACGGCAGCACGGGAGAGCUUGCUCUCUGGGUGGCGAGUGGCGGACGGGUGAGGAAUACAUCGGAAUCUACUCUGUCGUGGGGGAUAACGUAGGGAAACUUACGCUAAUACCGCAUACGACCUACGGGUGAAAGCAGGGGAUCUUCGGACCUUGCGCGAUUGAAUGAGCCGAUGUGGGAUUAGCUAGUUGGGGGGGUAAAGGCCCACCAAGGCGACGAUCCGUAGCUGGUCUGAGAGGAUGAUCAGCCACACUGGAACUGAGACACGGUCCAGACUCCUACGGGAGGCAGCAGUGGGGAAUAUUGGACAAUGGGCGCAAGCCUGAUCCAGCCAUACCGCGUGGGUGAAGAAGGCCUUCGGGUUGUAAAGCCCUUUUGUUGGGAAAGAAAUCCAGCUGGCUAAUACCCGGUUGGGAUGACGGUACCCAAAGAAUAAGCACCGGCUAACUUCGUGCCAGCAGCCGCCGUAA